UGGGGAAUAUUGGACAACGGGGGGAACCCUGAUCCAGCCAUGCCGCGUGAGUGAAGAAGGCCUUAUGGUUGUAAAGCACUUUAAGCGAGGAGGAGGGUACUGGUAUUAAUACUACCAGCUACUGGACGUUACUCGCAGAAUAAGCACCGGCUAACUCUGUGCCAGCAGCCGCGGUAAUACAGAGGGUGCGAUCGUUAAUCGGAUUUACUGGGCGUAAAGCGUGCGUAGGCGGCUAAUUGAGUCGGAUGUGAAAUCCCCGAGCUUAACUUGGGAACUGCAUCCAUAACUGGUGAGCUAGAGUAGGGCAGAGGGUGGUGGAAUUUCCUGUGUAGCGGUCGAAGGCGUAGAUAUAGGAAGGAACACAAGUGGCGAAGGCGACCACCUGGGCUCAUACUGACACUGUGGUACGAAAGCGUGGGGAGCAAACAGG
This 430-nucleotide ribosomal RNA is filed under the name Pseudomonadota bacterium. Its description in RNAcentral is "Proteobacteria bacterium partial 16S ribosomal RNA". It matches the Rfam family "Bacterial small subunit ribosomal RNA", at positions 355 to 776 of the family's 1533-position model. The record is from RNAcentral. Lineage: Bacteria; Pseudomonadati; Pseudomonadota.